GGAACGGGCCUCGGGGCGAACCUUACUGC
RNAcentral lists this small RNA (29 nucleotides) under Bombyx mori (domestic silkworm). Its description in RNAcentral is "ovarian small RNA-17191". Lineage: Eukaryota; Metazoa; Arthropoda; Insecta; Lepidoptera; Bombycidae. The record is from RNAcentral.